Molecule: ribosomal RNA, 1536 nt
Filed under: Escherichia coli
Lineage: Bacteria; Pseudomonadati; Pseudomonadota; Gammaproteobacteria; Enterobacterales; Enterobacteriaceae
Description: bacterial SSU rRNA
Rfam family: Bacterial small subunit ribosomal RNA
Source: RNAcentral
UUGAAGAGUUUGAUCAUGGCUCAGAUUGAACGCUGGCGGCAGGCCUAACACAUGCAAGUCGAACGGUAACAGGAAGAAGCUUGCUUCUUUGCUGACGAGUGGCGGACGGGUGAGUAAUGUCUGGGAAACUGCCUGAUGGAGGGGGAUAACUACUGGAAACGGUAGCUAAUACCGCAUAAUGUCGCAAGACCAAAGAGGGGGACCUUCGGGCCUCUUGCCAUCGGAUGUGCCCAGAUGGGAUUAGCUAGUAGGUGGGGUAACGGCUCACCUAGGCGACGAUCCCUAGCUGGUCUGAGAGGAUGACCAGCCACACUGGAACUGAGACACGGUCCAGACUCCUACGGGAGGCAGCAGUGGGGAAUAUUGCACAAUGGGCGCAAGCCUGAUGCAGCCAUGCCGCGUGUAUGAAGAAGGCCUUCGGGUUGUAAAGUACUUUCAGCGGGGAGGAAGGGAGUAAAGUUAAUACCUUUGCUCAUUGACGUUACCCGCAGAAGAAGCACCGGCUAACUCCGUGCCAGCAGCCGCGGUAAUACGGAGGGUGCAAGCGUUAAUCGGAAUUACUGGGCGUAAAGCGCACGCAGGCGGUUUGUUAAGUCAGAUGUGAAAUCCCCGGGCUCAACCUGGGAACUGCAUCUGAUACUGGCAAGCUUGAGUCUCGUAGAGGGGGGUAGAAUUCCAGGUGUAGCGGUGAAAUGCGUAGAGAUCUGGAGGAAUACCGGUGGCGAAGGCGGCCCCCUGGACGAAGACUGACGCUCAGGUGCGAAAGCGUGGGGAGCAAACAGGAUUAGAUACCCUGGUAGUCCACGCCGUAAACGAUGUCGACUUGGAGGUUGUGCCCUUGAGGCGUGGCUUCCGGAGCUAACGCGUUAAGUCGACCGCCUGGGGAGUACGGCCGCAAGGUUAAAACUCAAAUGAAUUGACGGGGGCCCGCACAAGCGGUGGAGCAUGUGGUUUAAUUCGAUGCAACGCGAAGAACCUUACCUGGUCUUGACAUCCACGGAAGUUUUCAGAGAUGAGAAUGUGCCUUCGGGAACCGUGAGACAGGUGCUGCAUGGCUGUCGUCAGCUCGUGUUGUGAAAUGUUGGGUUAAGUCCCGCAACGAGCGCAACCCUUAUCCUUUGUUGCCAGCGGUCCGGCCGGGAACUCAAAGGAGACUGCCAGUGAUAAACUGGAGGAAGGUGGGGAUGACGUCAAGUCAUCAUGGCCCUUACGACCGGGCUACACACGUGCUACAAUGGCGCAUACAAAGAGAAGCGACCUCGCGAGAGCAAGCGGACCUCAUAAAGUGCGUCGUAGUCCGGAUUGAGUCUGCAACUCGACUCCAUGAAGUCGGAAUCGCUAGUAAUCGUGGAUCAGAAUGCCACGGUGAAUACGUUCCCGGGCCUUGUACACACCGCCCGUCACACCAUGGGAGUGGGUUGCAAAAGAAGUAGGUAGCUUAACCUUCGGGAGGGCGCUUACCACUUUGUGAUUCAUGACUGGGGUGAAGUCGUAACAAGGUAACCGUAGGGGAACCUGCGGUUGGAUCACCUCCUU